UACGUAGGGUGCGAGCGUUAAUCGGAUUUAUUGGGCGUAAAGCGAGCGCAGGUGGUUUAUUAAGUCUGGUGUAAAAGGCAGUGGCUCAACCAUUGUGUGCAUUGGAAACUGUUAGACUUGAGUGCAGUAGAGGAGAGUGGAAUUCCAUGUGUAGCGGUGAAAUGCGUAGAUAUAUGGAGGAACACCGGUGGCGAAAGCGGCUCUCUGGACUGUAACUGACACUGAGGCUCGAAAGCGUGGGUAGCAAACAGG
Molecule: ribosomal RNA, 252 nt
Filed under: uncultured microorganism
Description: partial 16S ribosomal RNA
Rfam family: Bacterial small subunit ribosomal RNA
Source: RNAcentral